Non-coding RNA from Tinamus guttatus (white-throated tinamou), 144 nucleotides. NCBI's taxonomy places the organism in Eukaryota, Metazoa, Chordata, Aves, Tinamiformes, Tinamidae. The record is from RefSeq and is a predicted model, not a curated record.
CUUUUCCAAAGUAACUAGGUCUUAGGUGAAUAUAGCAUUAGAGUGAGAAACCUAAAUGUAAUAUGAGCUGGAAAUAUAUAUGUUCUUAACUGUUUUCUUCCCAACUUCUUCUCAGAGAGUAAGUUCUCUUCCCCCACAUAUGAA